GCACUACAAGAAAAUUAUCAUUUUGCGACACUUCAAUUGCGACAUUUAAAAAAUAACCGUCGCAAUGUGCUUUUUUUAUGAAGUUUGCAACGGUUUAUGCAACAGUUUAGACAACCGUCGCAGUGUUUUUGUCUAAAACCGGGAAAAAUUUCACUUCAGCGCCCAGUGAAAAUAGAAUCCUUUGCUCCCAAACAAAAUAAUUGAAUCCCAAACAAAAAAAAAUUGAACAUCCAGACAAAAGAAGCAAAACACACUUCUAAAAGGCAAAACACUUCUGAAACGUUAAAACCCUUUCAUCACCGCAUCGCCGGUCUAGGUUUCAAAUCCCUAACUCCUGCAACUACAAAUCCCGAACUAGUUUUCAAAUCCCUAACUCCUUCCAAAUUCAAACCCCUAAAUCUUUCAUCAUUCAAUUCUAAUCACUAAUCCUUAAAUCUCUGACAAAGCUUCUCAUUCUUCGGCAAGUGACGGACCUUCCCUUUCUUUCUCUCGUUGAGCAGAGUUCGUUGUUUUCAUCUCAGGUUCGUUGGUCUCUCGAUCUUGUUCUCCCUCCGCUGAUCUGUCACUCGUCAUCUUUCUAUGCGCUUCGAGCCUCUCUGGUUGGUAAGAAUCUUAAAAACCCAAUUACUCUUUUUGUCUCCUCUAUUUUCCCCUUAAAUAUAUCUCUAUGCGUUGAAAUAUUAGGUAUUUUGAGGAUUGAGGUUAACGAUAUUAAAGAACUAAAGUCUUUCAAUUUUUUCUUUUGUUGAUGUUUGAUUUUGAUGUUUCUCUAUGUUCUAUUUAUUGAGCUGAAUGAUUUAUGGAAGUAAAGUCUUUCAAUUGCGGCUUCCUCUGUUAUUUCUCCAUAACAAAACCCAAAAUUUAUGAAUUAUUUUGGUUUUGGUUCUGGUUUGGAUAAACUGGUGUGUGCAUUGGUUUGGUCUUUUUCCGCUUGCGGCUGCUGGUUUUUUUGGCCUCUGGUACUGGUUUUCAUGUGCUUUCUUGCUCAGUUCUUGUGUGAUUGGAUUCUGAUUUUAUGUUAUUGGUGAAAGCAUGCUUUGGUUUGGGUUUCCUGGCGUCCAGUCUUUUGGCCCUUAAGUAUGGUUUUUGGUUCUCUUGUUUGUGACUGAGUAUCUGUUUUUGGUUUGGGUAAGGUGAUGGUUUUAGUUCCAGCUUUUAUUUGGUGUUGUUUUGUAGUAAUUUCUGUUUAGUGGUGGGCGUAUAGUUUUCUUGGCAGUAGUGGUAGCGGUGCAUGGCACUGGCAGUGUUUGUGUUUCAAACUGCUAUUGCAAUGCCUUGUACUUCUUUUGUGAUAUCCAGGCUCGCAAACAUUAGUGUUAUGCAUCAGCUGUAACAUUAUUGCCUUCCUUUUGUGAUAUCCAGGCUCACCUUGAGUUUGUGGUACCAAUUAAGUUUGUGCCUAAAUUUUGUUAAAGUUUUUGUAUUUGGUUUGGUUUUUCUUAGUGACACUAUUAUGGCCAAUGUUGAAAUGAUCUAAGCUUCAAUUUUUUAUGAGUAAUGCUAAGGUCACGCCACUUGACGCCGUCCAUCGUCUUAAUUGCAGUCUUAUUUAGUCGCCGUCUAUAUCACGUGUUCUGGUAAUCGUCGGACCUAUAAUGUGUUCCGGUGGAUGUUGUCGUCUUUCAUCUUUAUUGUGAGCUUCGUCUUCAUCUUUAAAAGAGUGUGUGACACUAGCACCCCUCAUUUUUUAUUCUUUUUGUCCAGGUAAGAUUACAGUGUUACUAAUAUGCUAUUGUCCAAACUCAUUGAGAAGGGGAUAUGAAUAUGGGUUAUUAUCAGCAGUGUAGCUUGUUAUAUAUGAGCUCUCAUCCUUCUUUCUACACAAGGUUUUUUAUUUUUAUUUUGUUCAAGACUUGUUGUAUUAUUUUGUUCAAAGACUUACAGUGAUGCAUUAUUUUGCUAUUGUGUGUGUGUUAGAAUUGUAAGUAGUUAGUAAUUAAUUUGUAGUUAGUGAUGUUACCAAUAUUCUUGCUACUGCAUACUAUUCUUUUGUAUGUUUGAACCAGAGCUAACAAAAUAUGGAGACUAGAUAAUGUCUUGUAACAUUUUAAAAAAUCAUGUGGUUGUGUAGGUACUAAAUUGAUUGACAAUUAACUUCCUAGUAUGAGAUGUGUGUAUGCAGAUUGAUAAACAUGUCAAGAGAAAAUCACAAACAAUAGAUCCUUGAAGCAUCCAAAUAUUGUUAGAUUAAAAAAGGUGGAAGACUUGGAAUUACUAAACUAUGUACGACAUUCUUUUGAUUCUAGUCAUUUACCUCGGGAUGAUCAAGUAAUUUUCUUGUGAUGGACCAUCCAGAUAAUUGAUUUAAUUUUCAUGGAACUCAAGAAACCUUUUUGUAUCAUUUGUAUAUGUUGUAUUUAUAUGAAAUUCAUAUUUUUGUUUAUGGAUUAGUUCAUAUUUUUAGUAAUAGUAUUUAUAUAUUUGUGCAUUUUAA
Long non-coding RNA from Trifolium pratense (red clover), 2434 nucleotides. RefSeq lists it as uncharacterized. The record is from RefSeq and is a predicted model, not a curated record. The transcript is spliced from 4 exons. Lineage: Eukaryota; Viridiplantae; Streptophyta; Magnoliopsida; Fabales; Fabaceae.